UUGAAUUUUUGGGGGUUGUAGCUGACUCUUUCAGAGUAUGUGCUCGCCUUCAACUCUUCUCUUUACCACCUGUGCACCUUUGUAGUCUCUUGAUACCUCUCAAAGAGUUUAUUCUCUUUGGAUUGAUGGACUUGCCUUCAUUGGCUUGUCUUCAAUUUCAUGAGACUAUGUCUUACAAACUCUAUACAAAACCAGAAUGUCUUUUGUAGUGUCUUUAUAUGACCUAUAAACUUAUA
RNAcentral lists this unclassified non-coding RNA (236 nucleotides) under uncultured Agaricomycetes. RNAcentral's name for it is "sequence contains ITS1". Lineage: Eukaryota; Fungi; Basidiomycota; Agaricomycetes. The record is from RNAcentral.